Triticum dicoccoides is the source of this 408-nucleotide long non-coding RNA. RefSeq lists it as uncharacterized. The transcript is spliced from 4 exons. Lineage: Eukaryota; Viridiplantae; Streptophyta; Magnoliopsida; Poales; Poaceae. The record is from RefSeq and is a predicted model, not a curated record.
GGGCUGGAGAGACCAGGCCCACAUCGCUGAAGGAGUGGGCGUGGAGCAGGGGAGGAUGAGGGCGAUGGGCAUGCGGGAAGGAGCAGCGAGGUCGGAGUUCCAGGGGAUGCCGGCCGUCGUCACAUGUCCCCAGUAUCUGAGGAACAAAAAGAAGGGGAUGAAUCUUGAGGAAGAGCUUGGCUAAGAACAAGAUCUGAGGAACAAAAAUAAGGGGAUGAAUCUUGAGGAAGAGCUUGGAUAAGAACAAGGUGUUCGUAAUGGCAACGGUUGUAAUCAACGAUGAGAAAAAGGGACUGAGAUUGGAUUUGUACUAGGCAUGUUCCUCAUCUCUCUCAGUCCUUGUUCCUAUCCCCACCCUGAUGUAACUGUUUCUUCACAACUGUUGGAUGUGUCUUAGGAGAUAAAUGC